This 339-nucleotide unclassified non-coding RNA is filed under the name soil metagenome. Its description in RNAcentral is "partial contains 5.8S ribosomal RNA, internal transcribed spacer 2, and large subunit ribosomal RNA". The stretch from base 1 to 120 matches the Rfam family "5.8S ribosomal RNA", at positions 35 to 154 of the family's 154-position model. The record is from RNAcentral.
GAUGAAGAACGCAGUGAAAUGCGAUAAGUAAUGCGAAUUGCAGAAUUCCGUGAAUCAUCGAAUCUUUGAACGCACAUUGCACCUCUCGGUAUUCCGGGAGGUAUGCCUGUUCGAGCGUCAUUUGUACCCUCAAGCUCUGCUUGGUGUUGGGUGUUUGUUCCGCCUCUGUGUGUGAACUCGCCUCAAAACAAUUGGCAGCCGGCGUACUUGUUUCGGAGCGCAGCACAUUUUGCGAUCCAGAUCAACGUACAGCGGCAUCCAAGAAGCCUUAUUUAACGCUCUUGACCUCGGAUCAGGUAGGGAUACCCGCUGAACUUAAGCAUAUCAAUAAGCGGAGGA